Diachasma alloeum is the source of this 455-nucleotide long non-coding RNA. RefSeq lists it as uncharacterized. The transcript has 2 exons. The record is from RefSeq and is a predicted model, not a curated record. Lineage: Eukaryota; Metazoa; Arthropoda; Insecta; Hymenoptera; Braconidae.
UAUUGCGCACCAACUGUGUAAAACCCUCCGAUUAUUAUGUAAAUGCAAUGUUCGCAGGUAUUUAUCCUCACGAAAACAAUUUUUAUGUCCAGAGCAGAAGAGGCAGUUGAAAAGCCUACAGUACUUCCAAAUUAUUACUCCAAAUAUCUGACAAAAUGGUUCAAUUGCGUCAAUUAUUGCCUAUUUUCAUGGCUCUCUUAUUGAUUCUUCUACUCUCUUCGCAACCGGGUACUGCUUCAAGACUGGCGCGCAGUUGUCAGCGGAUUUGCGAGGAUGGAAGUCGGCCAGGUCCAGGCUGUUCGUGUAGCGAGGAUGAAUAACAAAAUUAUCUACUGAAAAAACAAAUCGACAAAUUCUGGUGCCAAUAUUCAAAUGAGAAUAUCGAGGACGACAGUGAUGUUAUGUAAAAUAAGUUGUGGUUGUUGGAGAUAAAUAUAAAGCAAUUUGGCACAACC